GGCGCACGGGUGAGUAAGGUAUAGUUAAUCUGCCCUACACAAGAGGACAACAGUUGGAAACGACUGCUAAUACUCUAUACUCCUGCUUAACACAAGUUGAGUAGGGAAAGUUUUUCGGUGUAGGAUGAGACUAUAUAGUAUCAGCUAGUUGGUAAGGUAAUGGCUUACCAAGGCUAUGACGCUUAACUGGUCUGAGAGGAUGAUCAGUCACACUGGAACUGAGACACGGUCCAGACUCCUACGGGAGGCAGCAGUAGGGAAUAUUGCGCAAUGGGGGAAACCCUGACGCAGCAACGCCGCGUGGAGGAUGACACUUUUCGGAGCGUAAACUCCUUUUCUUAGGGAAGAAUUCUGACGGUACCUAAGGAAUAAGCACCGGCUAACUCCGUGCCAGCAGCCGCGGUAAUACGGAGGGUGCAAGCGUUACUCGGAAUCACUGGGCGUAAAGGGCGCGUAGGCGGAUUAUCAAGUCUCUUGUGAAAUCUAAUGGCUUAACCAUUAAACUGCUUGGGAAACUGAUAGUCUAGAGUGAGGGAGAGGCAGAUGGAAUUGGUGGUGUAGGGGUAAAAUCCGUAGAUAUCACCAAGAAUACCCAUUGCGAAGGCGAUCUGCUGGAACUCAACUGACGCUAAGGCGCGAAAGCGUGGGGAGCAAACAGGAUUAGAUACCCUGGUAGUCCACGCCCUAAACGAUGUACACUAGUUGUUGGGGUGCUAGUCAUCUCAGUAAUGCAGCUAACGCAUUAAGUGUACCGCCUGGGGAGUACGGUCGCAAGAUUAAAACUCAAAGGAAUAGACGGGGACCCGCACAAGCGGUGGAGCAUGUGGUUUAAUUCGAAGAUACGCGAAGAACCUUACCUGGGCUUGAUAUCCUAAGAACCUUUUAGAGAUAAGAGGGUGCUAGCUUGCUAGAACUUAGAGACAGGUGCUGCACGGCUGUCGUCAGCUCGUGUCGUGAGAUGUUGGGUUAAGUCCCGCAACGAGCGCAACCCACGUAUUUAGUUGCUAACGGUUCGGCCGAGCACUCUAAAUAGACUGCCUUCGUAAGGAGGAGGAAGGUGUGGACGACGUCAAGUCAUCAUGGCCCUUAUGCCCAGGGCGACACACGUGCUACAAUGGCAUAUACAAUGAGACGCAAUACCGCGAGGUGGAGCAAAUCUAUAAAAUAUGUCCCAGUUCGGAUUGUUCUCUGCAACUCGAGAGCAUGAAGCCGGAAUCGCUAGUAAUC
This 1227-nucleotide ribosomal RNA is filed under the name Campylobacter jejuni. Its description in RNAcentral is "bacterial SSU rRNA". It matches the Rfam family "Bacterial small subunit ribosomal RNA", at positions 97 to 1343 of the family's 1533-position model. The record is from RNAcentral. Lineage: Bacteria; Pseudomonadati; Campylobacterota; Epsilonproteobacteria; Campylobacterales; Campylobacteraceae.